GACGAACGCUGGCGGCGUGCUUAACACAUGCAAGUCGAACGGUGAAGCGCCUUCCUUUUUGGUGGGUGUGGAUGAGUGGCGAACGGGUGAGUAACACGUGAGUAACCUGCCCCCUUCUUCUGGAUAACCGCAUGAAAGUGUGGCUAAUACGGGAUAUUCUGGGUCUGUCGCAUGAUGGGUCUGGGAAAGAUAUUGUUUCGGUGGGGGAUGGGCUCGCGGCCUAUCAGCUUGUUGGUGGGGUGAUGGCCUACCAAGGCGGUGACGGGUAGCCGGCCUGAGAGGGUGGACGGCCAGACUGGGACGGAGACACGGCCCAGACUCCUACGGGAGGCAGCAGUGGGGAAUAUUGCACAAUGGGCGAAAGCCUGAUGCAGCGACGCCGCGUGAGGGAUGGAGGCCUUCGGGUUGUGAACCUCUUUCGCCAGUGAAGCAGGCCUGCCUCGUUUGUGGGUGGGUUGACGGUAGCUGGAUAAGAAGCGCCGGCUAACUACGUG
RNAcentral lists this ribosomal RNA (494 nucleotides) under uncultured bacterium. RNAcentral's name for it is "partial 16S ribosomal RNA". It matches the Rfam family "Bacterial small subunit ribosomal RNA", at positions 28 to 507 of the family's 1533-position model. The record is from RNAcentral.